GRGGGGCAGCAUGAAGGAAGCUUGCUUCCUUUGAUGGCGACCGGCGCACGGGUGAGUAACGCGUAUCCAACCUUCCCCUUAGUAGGGAACAGCCCGGCGAAAGUCGGAUUAAUGCCCUAUGUUCUUCGUUGAUGACAUCAGAUAUGAAGCAAAGGCUUGCCGCUAAGGGAUGGGGAUGCGUCUGAUUAGCUUGUUGGCGGGGUAACGGCCCACCAAGGCGACGAUCAGUAGGGGUUCUGAGAGGAAGGUCCCCCACAUUGGAACUGAGACACGGUCCAAACUCCUACGGGAGGCAGCAGUGAGGAAUAUUGGUCAAUGGUCGAGAGACUGAACCAGCCAAGUAGCGUGCGGGAUGACGGCCCUAUGGGUUGUAAACCGCUUUUGCAGGGGAAUAAAGUGGCGCACGUGUGCGUUUUUGCAUGUACCCUGAGAAUAAGGACCGGCUAAUUCCGUGCCAGCAGCCGCGGUAAUACGGAAGGUCCGGGCGUUAUCCGGAUUUAUUGGGUUUAAAGGGAGCGCAGGCCGUGGGUUAAGCGUGACGUGAAAAGCAGCGGCUCAACCGUUGUCGUGCGUCGCGAACUGGCCCGCUUGAGUGGGAUCGACGUAGGCGGAAUUCGUGGUGUAGCGGUGAAAUGCUUAGAUAUCACGAAGAACCCCGAUUGCGAAGGCAGCCUACGAGGCCUCUACUGACGCUAAAGCUCGAAGGUGCGGGUAUCGAACAGGAUUAGAUACCCUGGUAGUCCGCACGGUAAACGAUGGAUGCCCGCUGUUGGCGACACACUGUCAGCGGCCAAGCGAAAGCGUUAAGCAUCCCACCUGGGGAGUACGCCGGCAACGGUGAAACUCAAAGGAAUUGACGGGGGCCCGCACAAGCGGAGGAACAUGUGGUUUAAUUCGAUGAUACGCGAGGAACCUUACCCGGGCUUGAACUGCAGCAGAACGAUAGAGAGAUCUUGAGGCCCUUCGGGGCUGCUGUGGAGGUGCUGCAUGGUUGUCGUCAGCUCGUGCCGUGAGGUGUCGGCUUAAGUGCCAUAACGAGCGCAACCCCUUUCAUCAGUUGCCAUCAGGUGAUGCUGGGCACUCUGGUGAUACUGCCACCGUAAGGUGUGAGGAAGGUGGGGAUGACGUCAAAUCAGCACGGCCCUUACGUCCGGGGCUACACACGUGUUACAAUGGGUGGUACAGAGAGUCAGCCGCCGGCAACGUCGGUUUAACCAAUAAAGCCAUCCUCAGUUCGGAUUGGGGUCUGCAACCCGACCCCAUGAAGCUGGAUUCGCUAGUAAUCGCGCAUCAGCCAUGGCGCGGUGAAUACGUUCCCGG
RNAcentral lists this ribosomal RNA (1320 nucleotides) under uncultured rumen bacterium. RNAcentral describes it as "bacterial SSU rRNA". It matches the Rfam family "Bacterial small subunit ribosomal RNA", at positions 64 to 1377 of the family's 1533-position model. The record is from RNAcentral.